UGGGGAAUUUUGGACAAUGGGCGAAAGCCUGAUCCAGCAAUGCCGCGUGCAGGAUGAAGGCCUUCGGGUUGUAAACUGCUUUUGUACGGAACGAAAAAGCUCCUUCUAAUACAGGGGGCCCAUGACGGUACCGUAAGAAUAAGCACCGGCUAACUACGUGCCAGCAGCCGCGGUAAUACGUAGGGUGCGAGCGUUAAUCGGAAUUACUGGGCGUAAAGCGUGCGCAGGCGGUUAUGUAAGACAGAUGUGAAAUCCCCGGGCUCAACCUGGGAACUGCAUUUGUGACUGCAUGGCUAGAGUACGGUAGAGGGGAUGGAAUUCCGCGUGUAGCAGUGAAAUGCGUAGAUAUGCGGAGGAACACCGAUGGCGAAGGCAAUCCCCUGGACCUGUACUGACGCUCAUGCACGAAAGCGUGGGGAGCAAACAGGAUUAGAUACCCUGGUAGUCCACGCCCUAAACGAUGUCAACUGGUUGUUGGGAAUUAGUUUUCUCAGUAACGAAGCUAACGCGUGAAGUUGACCGCCUGGGGAGUACGGCCGCAAGGUUG
This 547-nucleotide ribosomal RNA is filed under the name uncultured bacterium. RNAcentral describes it as "bacterial SSU rRNA". It matches the Rfam family "Bacterial small subunit ribosomal RNA", at positions 355 to 896 of the family's 1533-position model. The record is from RNAcentral.